CUAAGGUAGUAGUAGUUAUGUUCUUGAAACUUAAAAAAUUUGGCGGUAUUUUAGUCUAUUCAGAGGAACCUGUCCUGUAAUUGAUAAUCCACGUUGGACCUUACUUAAAUUUGUUUAUCAGUUUGUAUACCGUCGUUAUAAGAAUAUUUUAUUAGAAUAAUAAUUUUCUAGAAUUUUUAUAAAAAUUUAUAUCAGAUCAAGGUGCAGCUUAUGUUUAAGAAGAGAUGGGUUACAAUAAAUUUAUUUAUACGAAUUGGAUUUUGAAAUUAAUNUAUGAAGGAGGAUUUGAAUGUAAAAUUAUAAAGAUUNAUAAUUUGAUUUUAGCUCUAAAAUAUGUACACAUCGCCCGUCACUCUUAUUAUUAAGGUAAGAUAAGUCGUAACAUAGUAGAUGUACUGGAAAGUGUAUCUAGAAUGCAAUUUAAAGCUUAAAUAGUAAAGCAUUUCAUUUACAUUGAAAAGAUUUUUGUGCAAAUCAUUAUAAGUUGAUUAAUUUUUAUUUAUUAAUGAAAUUAUUUUUUAAAUUUUGUUAUUAGAAAUAACUAUACAAAUUUUGGUUUGAGUAUUUUAUAAAGAAAAAAUAAUUUUUAUAAUAGUUAAUUAGUAUUGUGAAAGAAAAUUGAAAUAAUUUGAAAAA
RNAcentral lists this ribosomal RNA (636 nucleotides) under Meroplius fukuharai. RNAcentral describes it as "partial 12S ribosomal RNA". The stretch from base 417 to 488 matches the Rfam family "tRNA". The record is from RNAcentral. Lineage: Eukaryota; Metazoa; Arthropoda; Insecta; Diptera; Sepsidae.